AAUCAACGCUGGCGGCGUGCCUAACACAUGCAAGUCGAGCGGGAAAGGGGGCUUCGGUCCCUGAGUAUAGCGGCGGACGGGUGAGUAACACGUGGGUAAUUUGCCCUUGGGUGUGGAAUAACUCAGGGAAACUUGAGCUAAUACCGCAUGACAUCCCCUUCACACACGAGUUGGGGAUCAAAGCCGGGGACCCUUCGGGGCCUGGCGCCUGAGGAGAAGCCCGCGCCCGAUUAGCUAGUUGGGAGGUAAUGGCUCACCAAGGCUUCGAUCGGUAGCCGGCUGAGAGGGCGGACGGCCACACUGGGACUGAGACACGGCCC
RNAcentral lists this ribosomal RNA (320 nucleotides) under uncultured bacterium. Its description in RNAcentral is "bacterial SSU rRNA". It matches the Rfam family "Bacterial small subunit ribosomal RNA", at positions 32 to 332 of the family's 1533-position model. The record is from RNAcentral.